RNAcentral lists this ribosomal RNA (612 nucleotides) under Vibrio alginolyticus. Its description in RNAcentral is "bacterial SSU rRNA". It matches the Rfam family "Bacterial small subunit ribosomal RNA", at positions 490 to 1101 of the family's 1533-position model. Lineage: Bacteria; Pseudomonadati; Pseudomonadota; Gammaproteobacteria; Vibrionales; Vibrionaceae. The record is from RNAcentral.
GCACCGGCUAACUCCGUGCCAGCAGCCGCGGUAAUACGGAGGGUGCGAGCGUUAAUCGGAAUUACUGGGCGUAAAGCGCAUGCAGGUGGUUUGUUAAGUCAGAUGUGAAAGCCCGGGGCUCAACCUCGGAAUAGCAUUUGAAACUGGCAGACUAGAGUACUGUAGAGGGGGGUAGAAUUUCAGGUGUAGCGGUGAAAUGCGUAGAGAUCUGAAGGAAUACCGGUGGCGAAGGCGGCCCCCUGGACAGAUACUGACACUCAGAUGCGAAAGCGUGGGGAGCAAACAGGAUUAGAUACCCUGGUAGUCCACGCCGUAAACGAUGUCUACUUGGAGGUUGUGGCCUUGAGCCGUGGCUUUCGGAGCUAACGCGUUAAGUAGACCGCCUGGGGAGUACGGUCGCAAGAUUAAAACUCAAAUGAAUUGACGGGGGCCCGCACAAGCGGUGGAGCAUGUGGUUUAAUUCGAUGCAACGCGAAGAACCUUACCUACUCUUGACAUCCAGAGAACUUUCCAGAGAUGGAUUGGUGCCUUCGGGAACUCUGAGACAGGUGCUGCAUGGCUGUCGUCAGCUCGUGUUGUGAAAUGUUGGGUUAAGUCCCGCAACGAGCGCAA